RNAcentral lists this ribosomal RNA (253 nucleotides) under uncultured bacterium. Its description in RNAcentral is "partial 16S ribosomal RNA". It matches the Rfam family "Bacterial small subunit ribosomal RNA", at positions 524 to 776 of the family's 1533-position model. The record is from RNAcentral.
GACGAACCGAGCGAACGUUGUUCGGAUUCACUGGGCUUAAAGGGCGCGUAGGCGGGCCGUAUGGUCCGGGGUGAAAUCCUCCCGCUUAACGGGAGAACGGCCCUGGAUACCUGCGGUCUCGAGGGAGGUAGGGGCGUGCGGAACACUGGGUGGAGCGGUGAAAUGCGUUGAUAUCCAGUGGAACUCCGGUGGCGAAGGCGGCACGCUGGACCUUUACUGACGCUGAGGCGCGAAAGCCAGGGGAGCAAACGGG